This 501-nucleotide ribosomal RNA is filed under the name uncultured bacterium. RNAcentral describes it as "bacterial SSU rRNA". It matches the Rfam family "Bacterial small subunit ribosomal RNA", at positions 28 to 533 of the family's 1533-position model. The record is from RNAcentral.
GAUGAACGCUAGCGGGAGGCCUAAUACAUGCAAGUCGAGCGGUAGAGUGACUUCGGUUGCUUGAGAGCGGCGCACGGGUGAGUAACGCGUACAUGACCUACCUUUAAGACUGGGAUAGCCCUGGGAAACUGGGAUUAAUACCGGAUGUGAUAAUAGAUAUAAGGAUUUAUUAUUAAAGUUACGGCGCUUAGAGAUGGAUGUGCGUCUGAUUAGCUAGUUGGUAGGGUAACGGCCUACCAAGGCAACGAUCAGUAGGGGCGUGAGAGCGUGACCCCCACACGGGUACUGAGACACGGACCGACUCCUACGGGAGGCAGCAGUAAGGAAUAUUGGUCAAUGGACGAAAGUCUGAACCAGCCAUCCGCGUGCAGGAUGACUGCCCUAUGGGUUGUAAACUGCUUUUAUAUAGGAAUAGCUAUGCGAUUCGUUCGCAAAAUGAAGGUACUAUAUGAAUAAGGAUCGGCUAACUCCGUGCCAGCGGCCGCGGUAAAGUCGUACGAU